AUGUACAGGGAGUCCAUUUUGAAUGACAAGAUUUCAGACCAAUUGUUAGAGUCUCUACUCAUAACAUUCUCUGAAUGGGUCAAGUAAAACAUCAUUUACAAUGAUGUAAGGUGCACUGCCAUUCAUAAUGACAAAUCCAUAUUUUGGAUGGUACAUUACACACUCAAAUUGACCUUUUGGUGAGAAGGUAUGUAUCAUGAUCGUGCCUCAUCACUGGAUAUAUCUGGUUGAGGAUUAACUUGUGGAUACUCUACAGGUUA
RNAcentral lists this long non-coding RNA (260 nucleotides) under Elaeis guineensis (African oil palm). RNAcentral's name for it is "long non-coding RNA (EGUI_LNC049064)". Lineage: Eukaryota; Viridiplantae; Streptophyta; Magnoliopsida; Arecales; Arecaceae. The record is from RNAcentral.